RNAcentral lists this ribosomal RNA (237 nucleotides) under uncultured bacterium. RNAcentral describes it as "partial 16S ribosomal RNA". It matches the Rfam family "Bacterial small subunit ribosomal RNA", at positions 99 to 334 of the family's 1533-position model. The record is from RNAcentral.
CGAACGGGUGAGUAGCGCGUGAGGAACCUGCCUCAAAGAGGGGGACAACAGUUGGAAACGACUGCUAAUACCGCAUAAGCCCACGGGUCGGCAUCGACCUGAGGGAAAAGGAGCAAUCCGCUUUGAGAUGGCCUCGCGUCCGAUUAGCUAGUUGGUGAGGUAACGGCCCACCAAGGCGACGAUCGGUAGCCGGACUGAGAGGUUGAACGGCCACAUUGGGACUGAGACACGGCCCAG